UACGUAGGGUGCAAGCGUUGUCCGGAAUUAUUGGGCGUAAAGAGCUCGUAGGCGGUUUGUCGCGUCUGCUGUGAAAUCUCGGGGCUUAACCCCGGGCCUGCAGUGGGUACGGGCAGACUAGAGUGCGGUAGGGGAGACUGGAAUUCCUGGUGUAGCGGUGAAAUGCGCAGAUAUCAGGAGGAACACCGGUGGCGAAGGCGGGUCUCUGGGCCGUAACUGACGCUGAGGAGCGAAAGCGUGGGGAGCGAACAGG
Molecule: ribosomal RNA, 253 nt
Filed under: uncultured bacterium
Lineage: Bacteria
Description: partial 16S ribosomal RNA
Rfam family: Bacterial small subunit ribosomal RNA
Source: RNAcentral